UACGUAGGGAGCGAGCGUUGUCCGGAAUCAUUGGGCGUAAAGCGCGCGUAGGCGGCCCUGUAAGUCCGUUGUGAAAGUCAAAGGCUCAACCUUUGAAAGCCGAUGGAUACUGCAGGGCUAGAGUCCGGAAGAGGCGAGUGGAAUUCCUGGUGUAGCGGUGGAAUGCGCAGAUAUCAGGAGGAACACCAAUAGCGAAGGCAGCUCGCUGGGACGGUACUGACGCUAAGGCGCGAAAGCGUGGGGAGCGAACAGG
This 253-nucleotide ribosomal RNA is filed under the name uncultured bacterium. RNAcentral describes it as "partial 16S ribosomal RNA". It matches the Rfam family "Bacterial small subunit ribosomal RNA", at positions 524 to 776 of the family's 1533-position model. The record is from RNAcentral.